CCUGACUGCUAUCGGAUUGAUACUAAGCCAUGCGAGUCAUUGUAGCAAUACAAGGCAGACGGCUCAGUAACGCGUAGUCAACCUACCCUAUGGACGGGGAUAACCUCGGGAAACUGAGAAUAAUACCCGAUAGAACAUUAUACCUGGAAUGGUUUAUGUUUCAAAUAAUUUAUUGCCGUAGGAUGGGACUGCGGCCUAUCAGUUUGUUGGUGAGGUAAUGGCCCACCAAGACUAUUACAGGUACGGGCUCUGAGAGGAGUAGCCCGGAGAUGGGUACUGAGACACGGACCCAGGCCCUAUGGGGCGCAGCAGGCGAGAAAACUUUGCAAUGUGCGAAAGCACGACAAGGUUAAUCCGAGUGGUUUCUGUUAAAGGAACCUUUUGUCAGUCCUAGAAACACUGAUGAAUAAGGGGUGGGCAAGUUCUGGUGUCAGCCGCCGCGGUAAAACCAGCACCUCAAGUGGUCAGGAUGAUUAUUGGGCCUAAAGCAUCCGUAGCCUGCUUUGUUAGUUUUCGGUUAAAUCCAUACGCUCAACGUAUGGGCUGCCGGGAAUACUGCAAAGCUAGGGAGUGGGAGAGGUAGACGGUACUCGGUAGGAAGGGGUAAAAUCCUUUGAUCUAUUGAUGACCACCUGUGGCGAAGGCGGUCUACCAGAACACGUCCGACGGUGAGGGAUGAAAGCUGGGGGAGCAAACCGGAUUAGAUACCCGGGUAGUCCCAGCUGUAAACUAUGCAAACUCGGUGAUGCAUUGGCUUGAUGCCAAUGCAGUGCCGCAGGGAAGCUGUUAAGUUUGCCGCCUGGGAAGUACGUACGCAAGUAUGAAACUUAAAGGAAUUGGCGGGGGAGCACCACAAGGGGUGAAGCCUGCGGUUC
RNAcentral lists this ribosomal RNA (875 nucleotides) under uncultured archaeon. RNAcentral describes it as "bacterial SSU rRNA". It matches the Rfam family "Archaeal small subunit ribosomal RNA", at positions 21 to 903 of the family's 1478-position model. The record is from RNAcentral.